GAUGAACGCUGGCGGCGUGCCUAAUACAUGCGAGUCGAGCGAACAGACGAGGAGCUUGCUCCUCUGACGUUAGCGGCGGACGGGUGAGUAACACGUGGAUAACCUACCUAUAAGACUGGGAUAACUUCGGGAAACCGGAGCUAAUACCGGAUAAUAUAUUGAACCGCAUGGUUCAAUAGUGAAAGACGGUUUUGCUGUCACUUAUAGAUGGAUCCGCGCCGCAUUAGCUAGUUGGUAAGGUAACGGCUUACCAAGGCAACGAUGCGUAGCCGACCUGAGAGGGUGAUCGGCCACACUGGAACUGAGACACGGUCCAGACUCCUACGGGAGGCAGCAGUAGGGAAUCUUCCGCAAUGGGCGAAGGCCUGACGGAGCAACGCCGCGUGAGUGAUGAAGGUCUUCGGAUCGUAAAACUCUGUUAUUAGGGAAGAACAAAUGUGUAAGUAACUAUGCACGUCUUGACGGUACCUAAUCAGAAAGCCACGGCUAACUACGUG
Molecule: ribosomal RNA, 497 nt
Filed under: uncultured bacterium
Lineage: Bacteria
Description: partial 16S ribosomal RNA
Rfam family: Bacterial small subunit ribosomal RNA
Source: RNAcentral